This 87-nucleotide transfer RNA is filed under the name Acidobacteriota bacterium. RNAcentral's name for it is "tRNA-Leu". It matches the Rfam family "tRNA". From Rfam's summary of the family: Transfer RNA (tRNA) molecules are approximately 80 nucleotides in length. Lineage: Bacteria; Pseudomonadati; Acidobacteriota. The record is from RNAcentral.
GCGAAUGUGGCGGAAUUGGCAGACGCACUAGCCUUAGGAGCUAGCGCCCGAGAGGGCAUGGGAGUUCGACCCUCCCCAUUCGCACCA